Molecule: long non-coding RNA, 3075 nt
Organism: Catharus ustulatus (Swainson's thrush)
Lineage: Eukaryota; Metazoa; Chordata; Aves; Passeriformes; Turdidae
Source: Ensembl
CCCCCUCCCAGAGCUUUUGUGGGUUGCAAAAGGUCUCUCAUGGACUUGCCCUGAGCUGCAAGCUGGGAUUUGUUCCUUUGUGGGGCUGCUUCCCCCGUUACCAUUAUUUACACCCACCGCUAUCAGUUCCUGACUAUCUGAGCACAGAGGGUUUGUUUAAACUGCUGCUGCUGCAUUUCCAGACCAUCUCACGGUCACCAGUUCCUGCUUGGCUCUUCCUGUCAGACGGGUUUGUCUGACUUCCUCCAGGGAUGGGUGAAGAUGGUGGAAUGGGUCUUAGGACUGGCGCCUAGAGGAGUUUCUGCCCUGAAACCAGCGAUGGCCAUGGCUUGUUCCUGCUUUGUCAGGCUGGGGAUUUAUGAUUGUCAUGUGCUAUUCAGGGAAUCCACGUGCUUGAUCCAUGUAGGACAGGGAAUCCCCACUCCUGAUGAUCCAUGACUGAUGCAAAACUCGGGCAGUUCAUAGCAGUAGCAAUAUUGCACCAUGCCCAGCACAGCCGUGCUGGCUUUCACUGCCAGCCCUUGUGUGCUGUUUCCCACAUCUUUGCAGGGAACACUGUCCAAGAUAUGACUGUAUCCCUGACUCUCCCAACCUCCUUGACACCCACAGAGACCGUGGCACUGCUGCCCAACACCAGCUCAAGCACUGCAGCCACCUUCCCUUUCUCUCGUCCAGAGAUGCCAAUGGAUACCUUCACACCCAAUGCUUCUACAGCUCAGCAGAGCAGCCUGGCAGCCUCCAACAUCACCAUGCCACAGGCAAGGGGCAGCACAGCUCACAGCACUCGUGUGUCGCCUGGGCUGGGACCCACCACCACCAGCACCACCCCAGCACAACUGGGACCCACCACUAGCACCACCCCAGCACAGCUGGGACCCACCACCACCAGCACCACCCCAGCACAGCUGGGACCCAGUACCACCAGCACCACCCCAGCAGGGCUGGGACCCACCACCAGCACCACCCCAGCACAGCUGGGACCCAGUACCACCAGCACCACCCCAGCACAACUGGGACCCGCUAUCACCAGCACUACCCCAGCACAACUGGGACUCACUACCAGCACUACCCCAGCAGGGCUGGGACCCACUAUCACCACACCCACUCCAACCUCCAUGGCCAUGACAUCUGACUGUGACAAGACUCCCACUUUCUCAUCUGCGGGGGCCAGCACCACCCUGGCUGUCAGCUCAUUUGGAGUUGAAAUGAGUAUGCUUCCUCCCCCCACCUCUACUCUUCUCUCCUCCACUGGGGUGGGCACCACACUUGGCACCAGCACUCACCAAGGGCCAGCUAUGACCACACUGCUUGGCAGCACAUCCCCAGGGACCAGCACCACCUCUUCUUCCACCACCCCAGGAGUGACAGGCACUUCAGAUGGGCCCUUGUUGACCCCAUCAGACACCAUGGCCUCCCUUGCUACCACCACAAAGCUCCCUGGGAGCAUCCCUGUCUCCAGCCAGCCAGUUGGGACCACGUCUAGGACCACUCCUGGUACCUCCACCCCAAGAGAACCAGAGAUCCCCAGUGACACUGCAGAGACCACUGUCAUGGGUGUGACAGCAACUGUGUCUCCACCUCUCCCUACUUCCUCAACACCUAUGGAGAGCUCAACACUGCUGCCUACCACUGACUCCAAGACCACAGCCACCCUCCUUUCCUCCAGCCCUGAAACAGAAUCCUCCACCCUAGAGGAGUCCAGCACAUCCGAAGAGACUGGCAACACCUCACCUCCCAGUGUGCCUCCUCCCUCCUCUUCAGCUGAGUCCAUGACAAGCCUGGCAGCCACAGACAGCUCUGUUAUCAACACAUCAGACCCCAUGAGCACUUCUUCAACCGACCCAGAUGGGACCACCCCUGACAUAUUCCCCUCAACUGUGGAGUCAACUCCAGACACUGAGCCCUCUUCCCCUGCCACCAGCUCAGCCCAGACCUCAGAGGCUACUACCCUCAGCACGUCUACAGAGCUGCCGACAACCUGCCCCUCUGGCUCGUCCAACACCAGUUCAUCUCACCUCUUUCUGUCACUGCGGCUAAGCACCCCUCUGGACCUGGGGAACACCACGGUGCAGGAGCUGGUGUUGUCCAAGCUCCGUGAGAACCUGCAAACAGCAUUCCCGUGUGCUGGCCUGUCACUGGCGUGGCGAGGGAAGAGGAGAACUUGACCACUGCCCCUCGCCUGGACUGCCAAGCCACCUGCUCCCAGCUCCUCACUCCGUGGUGGUGCAGGCCCCUGGGGAAUCCCACACAGCUCCUCUUGAACCUGGGGCUUCCUGUCUUUCACUCUGUACCCCCAGUCCCCUCCUGCCCCUUCCCACAGCCUGUCUGAAGAGCCUGAGCCCUCCCACCACCCUGCUCCAGACCUGGUUCCUGUGGUGGGAACCCCUCCAGCUCUGCUGGGGGGCUGGGAGAAGGGAACCCCACGGGACUGGGAUUUUACACCUGGGACUGAGCUGGCUCAGCCAUCAAAGCCACUCUGGGGACAGAGGAAUGAGGGGAAGGAGACCUGAAGCCCCCAGUACUGCUGUGCCCAAGGCUCACCUGUGAUAUUGCUGACAGAGAAGAACACCCAUGCUGGGCAGUAAAUAGAAAUUCCAUGUUUUCUGUGUUGAAGUGAUGACUUCUUUAUUUUCCAAGUUGUCUUUCCCAGUUUUCAGCUUUGCCAUCUAUUGGAGGUAGCGGUGAGGAAAACUGAGUCCCAAAAGCUUUGUGUGGAGAGACGGGCUCAGGGCUGUCCCCUCCCACCAGGGGCUGCUGCAGACAUUCCCAAGGAUGGCUCAACAGCCUGGUGGUCUCUGCUUUGGAGCUCUCUGCCCCAUGACACCCCACAGCUGCAGGGGCAGCACUGUGCACUGUGGGGCUGUGGAAAUCCCACGGGCUACUCUCCUUUCCUAUUUUUUCCAGUCCCCAACUAAGGAGAAGGCUGUAAUGUCUGUCCCCCUGCAGCAAAGUCAUUUAUUAACUGAUUAAUUAACCAGAUAAAAUCCAACUGAAGCAAUUAUUAGCCUAAGUAAGCCACCUCACCUGGAGAUUGAAAACUGAAAUAAUUAGCAAAAUAGCCUUGUUGCGUGUCAG